UGGCGGGGACUAUGAAUGUAAAAAUAUUGUUCUGAGAAGAGGCCCAUAGGUUUCAGCAGACUCUCAGUGAGAUCCAUGACUGAAAAAUGGCUAACAACCUUUUGGGAGGUGGCUUUACAUUGUGGGAAGAGCAUUGAACGUGGAGUGUGGAAGAUCUGUUUAAAUCCUGUCUGAAACUUGAAGCAUUUGUGGAAGUUCAGGUCAUUGUCUCCUGGAGGGGCCAGCUCAGCUCCUGACACCCAUUGAUGACAGCCCAGAAGGUAGAAGAAGAUACUGUCCUUAUAAUGCUUCUUUUACUGGUAGUGAGUGCAUGUUACCACCACAGACCACCAUGUAGUUGCCGAGGAUGCUCACUUGUGGAAGACUUGCUACCCAAUGACCUUCCUGGCCAUGAAGGUUCUGGCAAUGAUUUCAUCAUCAUUUCUACUUGUCGCACUUGUAAGAAUGAUGUAUGGAUCAGUUGUUUUGCUGGCAAGGUUGCCUUGGAAACAUGGCACUUUACACAGAUUUCAGAGUGAAUCUUAUUAAUAAAAAAGCUGUUCUGCACCCUGUUAAAAGGACUAGCAUAUGAAGGCAGUGUGAUUUUUGACAUGCAUUUUUCCCCCUGUUCUU
Long non-coding RNA from Sarcophilus harrisii (Tasmanian devil), 612 nucleotides. RefSeq lists it as uncharacterized. The transcript is spliced from 3 exons. The record is from RefSeq and is a predicted model, not a curated record. Lineage: Eukaryota; Metazoa; Chordata; Mammalia; Dasyuromorphia; Dasyuridae.